ACUGUUGAGUGAUGAGGCCCUGGAAUGAGUGCUGGGCACAGCGCCCAAAUCAGACUGCGGAAAUGUUCCUUGCUGCCUGCCUUCUGAGAAUAGC
Budorcas taxicolor (takin) is the source of this 94-nucleotide small nucleolar RNA. RefSeq annotates it as small nucleolar RNA U83B. Lineage: Eukaryota; Metazoa; Chordata; Mammalia; Artiodactyla; Bovidae. The transcript has a single exon. The record is from RefSeq and is a predicted model, not a curated record.